Molecule: unclassified non-coding RNA, 424 nt
Filed under: Hevea brasiliensis (rubber tree)
Lineage: Eukaryota; Viridiplantae; Streptophyta; Magnoliopsida; Malpighiales; Euphorbiaceae
Source: RNAcentral
GAAAAAUUGAGCUAAGAAUGAAUGGUUGAAUUUAACUUGUUAAUGUGACUUUGAGAAAAACCUCUACUGAAUGGAAUAAAUAUGGUUCUGCUUAAUGGAGUUGUUUGUUUUCUGGGAAUCUAGAGAAUGAAGGGAAAAUUAUUUUCUAUUUUUAGGUUUGCAGUGUCCUAUUAAUGUCAAAUGCCUGAUCUUUUAAAAAGUUUUUAAUAUUUUUGGGAGAAUUUGUAAUUUUUUUUUUGUCUAUAGAUAUGGUUGUAUUUUUUUUUAUUUACAUGUCCAAAAUUUAGAGUCUUUUUCCAGAAUCCCAUGCAGUUUAUUUCCUGAGAGUGCGAAAGUGACUUUGGAAUCUGAAUUGGAUCCUAGUUAACUCUGAAUGGAAUUUAUGGAUUUUGGGUUGUAGUUGAUAUUGUAGCAAUUGCAUUGU